RNAcentral lists this unclassified non-coding RNA (211 nucleotides) under Hevea brasiliensis (rubber tree). Lineage: Eukaryota; Viridiplantae; Streptophyta; Magnoliopsida; Malpighiales; Euphorbiaceae. The record is from RNAcentral.
GUCACUUCUGCUGGAGCGUCUCUCAGUUGACUAUGGAAAGAAAUCCAAACUUGGUUUCACAAUUUAUCCCUCACCACAGGUCUCAACUUCUGUUGUUGAGCCUUACAACAGUGUCCUGUCAACUCAUUCUCUACUUGAGCACACUGAUGUGUCAAUCCUUUUGGACAAUGAAGCCAUCUAUGACAUUUGCAGGCGCUCAUUGGACAUUGAG